RNAcentral lists this ribosomal RNA (479 nucleotides) under uncultured bacterium. RNAcentral describes it as "bacterial SSU rRNA". It matches the Rfam family "Bacterial small subunit ribosomal RNA", at positions 28 to 507 of the family's 1533-position model. The record is from RNAcentral.
GAUGAACGCUGGCGGCGUGCUUAACACAUGCAAGUCGAACGAAGCACUUUACUACGAUUUCUCGGAAUGACGGUUUUGUGACUGAGUGGCGGACGGGUGAGUAACGCGUGGAUAACCUGCCUCAUACAGGGGGAUAACAGCCGGAAACGGCUGCUAAUACCGCAUAAGCGCACGGUACCGCAUGGUACAGUGUGAAAAACUCCGGUGGUAUGGGAUGGAUCCGCGUCUGAUUAGCCAGUUGGCGGGGUAACGGCCCACCAAAGCGACGAUCAGUAGCCGACCUGAGAGGGUGACCGGCCACAUUGGGACUGAGACACGGCCCAGACUCCUACGGGAGGCAGCAGUGGGGGAUAUUGCACAAUGGGGGAAACCCUGAUGCAGCGACGCCGCGUGGAGGAAGAAGGUUUUCGGAUUGUAAACUCCUGUCGUUAGGGACGAUAAUGACGGUACCUAACAAGAAAGCACCGGCUAACUACGUG